Molecule: unclassified non-coding RNA, 270 nt
Filed under: uncultured Ascomycota
Lineage: Eukaryota; Fungi; Ascomycota
Description: sequence contains ITS2
Source: RNAcentral
AACGCACAUUGCGCCCGCUAGUAUUCUGGCGGGCAUGCCUGUCCGAGCGUCAUUUCAACCCUCGGGAGCCCCUUUGCGGGGGCUGCCGGUGUUGGGGAUCGCCCGCCGCCACGGUGGACGUCCCCUAAAACGAUUGGCGGUCUCGCUGUAGCCUCCUCUGCGCAGUAGCACUUGUUCUCGCAGGCGGAGCGCGGCGCGGCCAAGCCGUUAAACCCCCAACUUUUUUACUAGGUUGACCUCGGAUCAGGUAGGAAUACCCGCUGAACUUAA